CCUACGGGAGGCAGCAGUGAGGAAUAUUGGUCAAUGGACGAAAGUCUGAACCAGCCAAGUAGCGUGAAGGAUGACUGCCCUAUGGGUUGUAAACUUCUUUUAUAUGGGAAUAAAAUGUUCCACGUGUGGGAUUUUGUAUGUACCAUAUGAAUAAGGAUCGGCUAACUCCGUGCCAGCAGCCGCGGUAAUACGGAGGAUCCGAGCGUUAUCCGGAUUUAUUGGGUUUAAAGGGAGCGUAGGUGGAUUUUUAAGUCAGUUGUGAAAGUUUGUGGUGCAACCGUAAAAUUGCAGUUGAAACUGGCAGUCUUGAGUACGGUAGAGGUAGGCGGAAUUCGUGGUGUAGCGGUGAAAUGCUUAGAUAUCACGAAGAACUCCGAUUGCGAAGGCAGCUUACUGGACUGCAACUGACACUGAGGCUCGAAAGUGUGGGUAUCAAACAGGAUUAGAUACCCCAGUAGUC
Molecule: ribosomal RNA, 460 nt
Filed under: uncultured bacterium
Lineage: Bacteria
Description: partial 16S ribosomal RNA
Rfam family: Bacterial small subunit ribosomal RNA
Source: RNAcentral